UUCAUUUAAAGAGUGCGUAACAGCUCACUAGUCGAGCGAUCCCGCGUGGAUAAUACACGGGCAUCAAACUGUCAACCGAAGCCGUGGGGUUAGUUAAUGACUGACCGGUAGGAGAGCAUUCCUGCCAGCUUUGAAGGUCACCCGCGAGAGUGACUGGAGCGGCAUGAAAAGCAAAUGUAGGCAUAAGUAACGAUAAUGGGGGCGAGAACCCCCCACGCCGCAAGACCAAGGAUUCCCCGGCAAUGUCAAUCAGCCGGGGGUCAGCCGGCCUCUAAGGCUCACCCGAAGGGGGAUGCCGACGAGAAACGGGUUAACAUUCCCGUGCUUCUCGUCACCGUGACGCGGUGACGGGGUGAUGAAUGGACCGCGCGCUGACGGAAUAGCGCGUUGAAGGCCGUACCCUGUGACGGUGGUAGUCAAGCACGCCACCGGAGGCGAAAGUCGAUAGUACCUCGAGGCCUCGGCCGAGGGGAUAGCGUCCAGGCAAUUUACCCCCUAGAAAACCCGCUAAACUUCAAGUGACGAGGAACCGUACUGUAAACGGACACACGUGGUCGGGUAGAACAUACCAAGGCGCUCGAGUGAUUCAUGGUCAAGGAACUAGGCAAAAUAGUCCUGUAACUUCGGGAAAAAGGACGCUCUAGUGAUAGAGCCGCAGAGUAAUGGCCCAGGCGACUGUUUACCAAAAACACAUGGCUAUGCCAAAUCGAAAGAUGACGUAUAUGGCCUGACACCUGCCCGGUGCCGGAAGGUUAAGAGGAGAGCUCAUCGGAAACGAGAAGGUUUGAAUUGAAGCCCCGGUAAACGGCGGCCGUAACUAUAACGGUCCUAAGGUAGCGAAAUUCCUUGUCGGGUAAGUUCCGACCUGCACGAAUGGUGUAACGAUCUGGGCACUGUCUCGACCAUGAGCUCGGUGAAAUUGUAGUUCCGGUGAAGAUGCCGGGUACCCGCGACGGGACGGAAAGACCCCGUGAACCUUUACUGCAGCUUCGCGUUGUUCCCGGGCACGGGACGUGUAGGAUAGGUCGGAGGCUACGAGUCGGUUUCGCCAGGAAUCGAGGAGCCAUCGUUGAAAUACGACCCUUCUCUUGUCUGGGAUCUAACCCUUUGUAUAGGGGACACCGCGUGGUGGGUAGUUUGACUGGGGUGGUCGCCUCCAAAAGCGUAACGGAGGCUUCCAAAGGUACCCUCGGGUUGGUUGGUAAUCAACCGUAGAGUGCAAUGGCACAAGGGUGCUUGACCGGGAGACCAACGAGUCGAUCGGGUGCGAAAGCAGGGCAUAGUGAUCCGGUGAUCCCGCGUGGAAGGGUCAUCGCUCAAAGGAUAAAAGGUACUCCGGGGAUAACAGGCU
This 1351-nucleotide ribosomal RNA is filed under the name human gut metagenome. RNAcentral's name for it is "bacterial LSU rRNA". It matches the Rfam family "Bacterial large subunit ribosomal RNA", at positions 1118 to 2483 of the family's 2925-position model. The record is from RNAcentral.